RNAcentral lists this ribosomal RNA (499 nucleotides) under uncultured bacterium. RNAcentral's name for it is "partial 16S ribosomal RNA". It matches the Rfam family "Bacterial small subunit ribosomal RNA", at positions 30 to 523 of the family's 1533-position model. The record is from RNAcentral.
AUUGAACGCUGGCGGUAUGCUUAACACAUGCAAGUCGAACGAUGAGAAAGAGCUUGCUCUUUCGAUUAGUGGCGGACGGGUGCGUAACGCGUAGGAAUCUACCUAUUAGUGGGGGACAACUUAGGGAAACUUAAGCUAAUACCGCAGACGACCUACGGGGGAAAGAAGGGGAUCGCAAGACCUUUUGCUAAUAGAUGAGCCUGCGUAGGAUUAGAUAGUUGGUGGGGUAAAAGCUCACAAAGGCGACGUUCCUUAACUGUUUUGGGGGAAUGAUCAGUCACACUGGAACUGAGACACGGUCCAGACUCCUACGGGAGGCAGAAGUGGGGAAUAUUGGACAAUGGGCGAAAGCCUGAUCCAGCAAUACCGCGUGUGUGAAGAAGGCCUUAGGGUUGUAAAGCACUUUCAAUUGGAAGGAAAACCUCGAAGCUAAUACCUUCGAGUUUGACAUUACCUUUAGAAGAAGCACCGGCUAACUCCGUGCCAGCCGCCGCCGUAA